This 1000-nucleotide long non-coding RNA is filed under the name Triticum aestivum (bread wheat). Its description in RNAcentral is "long non-coding RNA (TAES_LNC004881)". The record is from RNAcentral. Lineage: Eukaryota; Viridiplantae; Streptophyta; Magnoliopsida; Poales; Poaceae.
GGAAAGAUAACUUCACUUACUAACAUCUCUGAUGCUAUGGCUUACAUGUUGACAGUUGAGACCUGCUGAGUUUACUCAUUUAUUGUGUGAUGUGUUAACUUGCUUUUGUAGUUUGUAUAUGCCAACAUAUGUCAUCUUGUUUUAUGGUUAGUAGUAUUUCAACAUGAUUUUCCUAUUCAUCAUGCAUGAAAACAAGACUGCAGUAAGGUGCUACAGAGCUAGGAGAUCUUGGUGUAUACUACAAUAUAUUAAUACGGAGGGAUUCCUUUGUCACAUGAUUUGAUAAGAUAUAUAGUACAGUACGGAAGUUAUUGUUAUAUUUUGUAAUCAUAUUCUUGAUGUACCGUUUCAGGUAUUUUCUUUUCAGAGAUUUGGCCAUUCAACUUUUGUUCUGAUUGCUAAUUGCCUUUAUGUGAAGAACUUUGUAUGGAUUAGUUGAUAUGGUCAGUGGUCAAACUGUUUGAGUUGCAAAAUUGUUUGAAAUUUCAAAUCUACAGGUUGUAUAUAUACAACCGGAUAUGAUGUGCAUCAUGCGUAGCUGUCUUCUUAGUUUUGUCUGUUAGCAUUAAUUAAUAUCUACUUUUUUGCAGACUUUUUUUUUAAUAUUUGAUGUACUUCAGAUGUUGAGCAUAAUAACGGAGAUGGUGCAUAUGAGGAUUUUUCUCUCCCGUUACAACACAGUUUAUAUUCUGGGUUGCGCCAGUUGCUUUCGGUUGGCGACGACUGCAAUGUAGUUAUCACCAUGCUCCUUAUGUUACUGGAAACAUCAUUCUUGAUUAUUUCUCCUUGUGUUACUGGUCACCAUCAUUGUUGAUUAUUUCUCCUUCCGUUCUGUUAUCCAAUAGAUAUUCUCUUAGUACAUGUAUAUUUGGGUGACAAAGGAGCAAGCCAUCCCUAAUUAAACCCCAAAUUGGAGAGAUAUGAUGUUUUCUAUCUGAAUGUUGUUUCAUAGAAUUAAUCAUUGGUUUAGUUUGAGAGAUUAAACCCAAAUAAGUUUAUG